AAUGUGGUGUCAACUUCACACUUUAUGCUAAUUUUGAAUGUUGUGGUGAAUCCUGUGGUGAAUGUGAGGAUGAAUGUGAGGAUGAAUGUCAGGAUGAAUCCUGUGGUACCUUCACAGUAGUAUCGUACAGACAACUCGUGCGUCUUGUAUGGGACUUUACAGGCAGCUCCAGACAUUUGCCACUGCCUUGUUGUAACAACAAAAUACGGACGACAUUUCCGAACAAUAAGUGUCUUCCUUACAAAGGAUUCGAAGAGGAUGAGGACAUAUAGCAAUGUAAAAAGAAAGCAUCAUGUGCAUUGGCUCUGGAGUGUGUCUCCUCAAUUCAUUUUCAACUUCUUCAAGCUUUUUCCUUGGAGUCUUCAGCAAAGUGUCAUAAAUUUCUUCAACAUAUGCUUCAACAAAAUUGUUUACCUGCAAUACAUGCCAGAAUAAGAGAAAUGAAUCAAUUUUGGUGCGAAAUGAUUAACAACUGAAUGGUAUCCCUCCAAACAGCUGGUCUGGGCAACAGAAGAUGCUUGUUUGAUAGCUUUAACAAGUUUCUUUUUGGUCAUAGAAAUGCUGGAUGACUGGUUUCCCCAAUUCUUUGCACAGUUUUGGACAUUUUUCCCUCAUCCAUUUGGCUAUGGUGGCAUGUCGAUCUGAUACGAAUGUUGUUAUUAUUAGGCCAGUUGUAAGGAGAAAUGACAUGGCCUUUUGGUGACCAAGAGCCUCCAUAGCUGAACUACUCCCUGCUUGGUUUGCCUUUGACAAAAAUAGAUUCCAAUAUCUUUUUUUGAUAAUUACGCCAAUAUAAAACAAUGGAAGGAAACAGAAAGUGUCUCUGGUGAUAAUAAUAUGCGACUUCACUGUAGCUGAUCAACCCCAUGUUCUUGAACACUUGAAGUACCUGUACAAUGCCAUUGGUUUAUGGAGUACUGAAUAUCUGUGAUUGAGAUGAUACAUUGCUACAUACUUCCUCACCUUUUUUACUGAAGCACCUGCACACAAAAUAGCAAAACUAAGCAAAAUAUUGCCAGCUGGAAACUUUCCAAAAAGAUAUGGUUGACUUUUCCAGGUGCAUCGGGCGUGAUCUGUUGGUCCUGUAAGAAUAUUGAGGAAUAGUUGUUUUACGAAGUGCACGUAUGUGUGAAGAGCAAUUGUUGGCUUUACGUAUGCAUCAUUCUCAGAUUGGUCUGGAAUUUCAGUUGUGCCUUUUUCUUCUUGAAAAUAGCACGAAUCUUCUUUCUUCAUGCAUGAUACAGACACUUCAUUUUGUAUUUCCUUUAAAACCUUAGUAUAAUUGUAUAUUAUAUAUUGAAAGUUUA
This is a long non-coding RNA of Xenia sp. Carnegie-2017, 1307 nucleotides long. RefSeq lists it as uncharacterized. NCBI's taxonomy places the organism in Eukaryota, Metazoa, Cnidaria, Anthozoa, Malacalcyonacea, Xeniidae. The record is from RefSeq and is a predicted model, not a curated record. The transcript has 6 exons.